GUAGGUGGCAAGCGUUGUCCGGAAUUAUUGGGCGUAAAGCGCGCGCAGGCGGUUCUUUAAGUCUGAUGUGAAAGCCCACGGCUCAACCGUGGAGGGUCAUUGGAAACUGGAGAACUUGAGUACAGAAGAGGAAAGCGGAAUUCCACGUGUAGCGGUGAAAUGCGUAGAGAUGUGGAGGAACACCAGUGGCGAAGGCGGCUUUCUGGUCUGUAACUGACGCUGAGGCGCGAAAGCGUGGGGAGCAAACAGGAUUAGAUACCCUGGUAGUCCACGCCGUAAACGAUGAGUGCUAAGUGUUAGGGGGUUUUCCGCCCCCCUUAGUGCUGCAGCUAGCGCAUUAAGCACUCCGCCUGGGAGUACGGCCGCAAGGCUG
This 373-nucleotide ribosomal RNA is filed under the name uncultured organism. RNAcentral describes it as "partial 16S ribosomal RNA". It matches the Rfam family "Bacterial small subunit ribosomal RNA", at positions 527 to 896 of the family's 1533-position model. The record is from RNAcentral.